GACGAACGCUGGCGGCGUGCUUAACACAUGCAAGUAGAACGGAAAGGCCCUGCUUUUGUGGGGUGCUCGAGUGGCGAACGCGUGAGUAACACGUGAGUAACCUGCCCUUGACUUUGGGAUAACUUCAGGAAACUGGGGCUAAUACCGGAUAGGAGCUCCUGCUGCAUGGUGGGGGUUGGAAAGUUUCGGCGGUUGGGGAUGGACGCGCGGCUUAUCAGCUUGUUGGUGGGGUAGUGGCUUACCAAGGCUUUGACGGGUAGCCGGCCUGGGAGGGUGACCGGCCACAUUGGGACUGAGGUACGGCCCAGACUCCUACGGGAGGCAGCAGUGGGGAAUAUUGCACAAUGGGCGGAAGCCUGAUGCAGCAACGCCGCGUGCGGGAUGACGGCCUUCGGGUUGGAAACCGCUUUCGCCUGUGACGAAGCGUGAGUGACGGUAAUGGGUAAAGAAGCACCGGCUAACUACGUG
This 468-nucleotide ribosomal RNA is filed under the name uncultured bacterium. RNAcentral's name for it is "partial 16S ribosomal RNA". It matches the Rfam family "Bacterial small subunit ribosomal RNA", at positions 28 to 507 of the family's 1533-position model. The record is from RNAcentral.